Molecule: non-coding RNA, 534 nt
Organism: Camellia sinensis
Lineage: Eukaryota; Viridiplantae; Streptophyta; Magnoliopsida; Ericales; Theaceae
Source: RefSeq, a predicted model, not a curated record
GACCAUUUCUUGCAAUUUCUUUUCCUCUCUUCUUCUCCCCUCUUCCAUGUCCGAAACCCUAGCUUCCAAAACCUUAAUUUCCUCCACUUUUAUCAACAAAUCCUUCAUGGAUCUUGUAUCAAAGAUGGAGAACAAGAAAGGGUCAACAUUUCCAACCGAUUGAAUUUCGAAAUUGAGGUGGAAUCUCAUCCAAGCUCGCUCCUUUAUUUGUUCUUCGAGGGCACACUUCAGGAGGGACAAGCACUCCGUUGUAGCACUGUGAGUAGUAGUACAAAAAAAUGUACAUUUUAUCUAUUGUUGAUAAUUAUUGUCACUAAUGCUCUGUUCUUUGUAAGUGUUAUACGAACAUUUAUGACAAUUGGAAAUCAAUGUGAACUUACAUGAACGCUGAAAGAUUCGCGUACGUCGGUAAUCACUUUGGGAGUCCGUCUUAACCCUUGAAGCUCACCCUUCAGUUGUCAACCUCAGUAUGCCCAGGCUCCCAGACCAAGUCUAUGCAUUUAUGUCAAGUUUUGUUAAAAUUUUGGCUUGCAC